AUUGAACGCUGGCGGCAUGCUUUACACAUGCAAGUCGAACGGUAACAGGCCGCAAGGUGCUGACGAGUGGCGAACGGGUGAGUAAUGCAUCGGAACGUGCCCAGUCGUGGGGGAUAACUACUCGAAAGAGUAGCUAAUACCGCAUACGAUCUAUGGAUGAAAGCGGGGGACCGUAAGGCCUCGCGCGAUUGGAGCGGCCGAUGUCAGAUUAGGUAGUUGGUGGGGUAAAGGCUCACCAAGCCAACGAUCUGUAGCUGGUCUGAGAGGACGACCAGCCACACUGGGACUGAGACACGGCCCAGACUCCUACGGGAGGCAGCAGUGGGGAAUUUUGGAAAAUGGGCGCAAGCCUGAUCCAGCAAUGCCGCGUGCAGGAAGAAGGCCUUCGGGUUGUAAACUGCUUUUGUACGGAACGAAACGGCUCUGGUUAAUACCCGGGGCUAAUGACGGUACCGUAAGAAUAAGCACCGGCUAACUACGUG
RNAcentral lists this ribosomal RNA (482 nucleotides) under uncultured bacterium. RNAcentral describes it as "partial 16S ribosomal RNA". It matches the Rfam family "Bacterial small subunit ribosomal RNA", at positions 30 to 507 of the family's 1533-position model. The record is from RNAcentral.